AACAGAAAACGUGAACACAAAAAUGUCUUCACUCCAUCUUUUCUCUAUGAAUUGAACAUAAGGCUCUUGGUGACACGACUCUUAGAUUUUCACAGUCAAUAGCGAUGGUUGGAGAAAAAUCUUGAAUUAUUGCAGGAAAUCCGCAAGACCCUUCUCUCCCAUGUUCUCUUUGAGUGAAAUCAGCUAAGUAGAGUCCAAUUUGUGCGUCUCUCCAAGGGGAACGUGUCAAAUGAAGAAAGACAACCUUUCGUCAUCACUACUCAACACUCUUUGUUCAUCAAGCUUGGUCAUUUGGUUGUAUUCCUCUUGUCAAUUUCUACUUAUAUAGAUUCUCAGAGUGUUCUAUUCAUCAAGGUAAAUUUCUACUUAUGAACAUAUAUUAAUAAAUUUUAUUAUUUGUUA
Non-coding RNA from Solanum lycopersicum (tomato), 402 nucleotides. The record is from RefSeq and is a predicted model, not a curated record. Lineage: Eukaryota; Viridiplantae; Streptophyta; Magnoliopsida; Solanales; Solanaceae.